GCUUCAUAUUUGUCUUGGCAAAACCGUAGGUAAGAGAGAGAGAGAACCGUGAGUGAGGGAGAGUUCAAUUCCUUAGAUCUUUGCUGGAAAUUUUGAAGGAAAACCAAGAGAAAAGUGAAGAAAAGGAAGAGGAAACUCAAGUUUAGCUUGGAUUUGUCAAGAUUAUGCAAGAUUAAGUGUCUAUGAAAACUCUAGGUCACGCGCCAUUGUCUACCUGAUUUAUCUGAUAUGUCCAAUCCAUCUGAUAUGCUUCCGCGGCUAUCUGUGAUAAGGCGGGUGACCAGGCUUAGAGGCAUCUACCUAGAAUCUAUUUUUGUCAGCCAGCCUAUGUGCCUCCCGUAGAGGUUCCGAAUAUGUCAAGUGAUUAUCGCUAUGUGAUUUAAAGUUUAAAUUUUGUUUUCGUGUUUGGUUGAACAAGUCUUGUGUGUUUUGUAAACCCCUUUUUCUCUAAAUCUGUAUAUAUAUGAUGACUUAAAGAUAAUGUGUAUAUAUGUAUAUAAAAAGUUUAAAA
Molecule: non-coding RNA, 511 nt
Organism: Camellia sinensis
Lineage: Eukaryota; Viridiplantae; Streptophyta; Magnoliopsida; Ericales; Theaceae
Source: RefSeq, a predicted model, not a curated record